CCUUUGUACACUCAGGGGCUGGGAAAAUGACCACCAAGUGGGUCCCUGGCUACAAUAGGCCCAUUGUGAGAUGGACCCAGGCCAGGACCCCACUUAUGACCUGGUCCACAUGCACCCUUCCUCUACCGUAACUUGAUGGUCCUUGGAUCCCUGGCUAUCAAUGUCAAUUUGGACCCUCCAUGCGACAGCCCUUGAAAAAUCUGGGUAGCCUGCUGUGGAAUGUGCCACUCGUCUCUCUCUUCAGGAGAGAACCUGCCACGAGUCAGGGCCCCUGGCUGCCCUCCCAACCUUGCUGUCCUUUCCAGAAAUUGCACCCACCCUGCUUGUGACAGAUAAGUGCUAUCCUCUGGUCUCUGCUAUGGCAGAAUCCCAUUAUCUCCAUUGCUACUCAGGAGCUCAGUUCUGUAGCAACAUCUCCCAUUGUCAGGCCCAGCUUACAGAGGACAGCCACCCCCGGGCUUCUCGACGACGCUGCUGGGUCCUCCCCAGUCAAUUCCUUAUCACCGUGUUAAAGAGGUGGGCCCUCUUGAGGAACUUAGUCAGCUGGGGGGGUUCCAAUAUACCAGAGAAGACCCAUUCUAGCUUGCCCACUUCUCCAAACCUUUGCACACCUUCCUCCACGGUCGGCUACAGCUGUUCCAGCAUCUCCUUCACUGAAUGUCCACCAUCACUUCCUCCAAGGUUCUGAGAACCAUCUCCAAGGGCCCUUCCAGUGGCAGACCUGAGAAUCUUUCUGCAUUGCUGAACCCUUCCAUAUCCAGCUUGUAGCCAGCUUCCCGUGAUCAGGAAGCUUCAGAGUCCACUCCUAGAAAUAUUCUCCCCUUCUCCGCCAGUCCCUGCUGGUUUGCUCCUGUGGCUCCUCUGAGGUAUUGCACAAGCCAGGGCACCCCCGUCCACCUGAGCCCUGCCCCAGGUGACCAAGGUGGAAGCUGAGCAGCUGGGACCGCCCGCACGCCAGCCCCCACCAGUGGCGGGGCCUCAUCACAACUGGCCAGCACGGCAUCCAACACCAGACGCCCAUCCUUGGAGGCGGCUUCUGGGACCGCUCCGGAGACUCCCUGCCUUCGGAAGCAGCACCUGAGGCAGGGUUUGGGAGCAGGGACCUCCCAGCAGGGAUUUCGUCAGGGACAAACCCCUCAGAGGGAGAAGGAAGCAGGAGGAAGAGGAAAGGCCGAGCAGAGCAAGGAUGUGGUCUCAGGCUCAGCCCAGCCUUGGCCUGAGGCCCAAGUUGCCCCACAGACUCAACCACGUCUGGAGGCGAGG
This 1263-nucleotide long non-coding RNA is filed under the name Equus caballus (horse). RNAcentral describes it as "lncRNA (ENSECAG00000048796.1)". The record is from RNAcentral. Lineage: Eukaryota; Metazoa; Chordata; Mammalia; Perissodactyla; Equidae.